Molecule: ribosomal RNA, 497 nt
Filed under: uncultured bacterium
Lineage: Bacteria
Description: partial 16S ribosomal RNA
Rfam family: Bacterial small subunit ribosomal RNA
Source: RNAcentral
GAUGAACGCUGGCGGCGUGCCUAAUACAUGCAAGUCGAGCGAACAGACGAGGAGCUUGCUCCUCUGACUUUAUCGGCGGACGGGUGAGUAACACGUGGAUAACCUACCUAUAAGACUGGGAUAACUUCGGGAAACCGGAUCUAAUACCGGAUAAUAUAUUGAACCUCAUUGUUCAAUAGUUAAAGACGGUUUUGCUUUCACUUAUAGAUUGAUCCGCGCCGCAUUCACUAGUUGGUUAAGUAACUGCUUACCAAGGCAACGAUGCGGAGCCGACCUCAGAGCGUGAUUGGCCAGACUGGAAGUGAGACACGGUCCACACUCCUACGGGAGGCAGCAGUAGGGAAUCUUCCGCAAUGCGCGAAAGCUUGACGGUGCAAAGCCGCGUGAGUCAUGAAGGUCUUAGGCUCGUAAAACUAUGUUAUUAGGGAAGUACAAAUGUGUAAGUACCUAUGAACGUAUUGACGGUACCUAAUCAGAAAGCCACGGCUAACUCCGUG